GGCCGACUAGCUCAGUUGGUUAGAGCGUGGUGCUAAUAAUAAGGUUACGCCAAGGUCGUCGGUUCGAUCCCGGCGUUGGCCA
Molecule: non-coding RNA, 82 nt
Organism: Lentinus tigrinus ALCF2SS1-7
Lineage: Eukaryota; Fungi; Basidiomycota; Agaricomycetes; Polyporales; Polyporaceae
Source: the annotation of a GenBank genome assembly